UGCGAAACCUUUGAGGGGAUCAUAGAACCUUUGAACCAAGCAGAUAACAGUACUCUUUCCACAUCCGCUGCUGCCGACUAAAGCAACCGUCUUUCCUGCUGGAAUCGACAAUGAAAAUCCUUGAAUGAUUGACUUUUCGGGACGAGAAGGCUUGAAAACCUCAUACCCUGCAGCCUUUGCCUGAUUGAAGAUUUGUAUGUCUGGUGCAGCAAAAGUAAGUGAUCUGCAAGAGAAUCCUGUAUUACAUACAUGUUGAAAGUGGGAUGAAUCAUUUUAUUCACCUCGAGGAUGAGGUCUUUUUCUUACACGGAUCCAAAGAGAAUGCUCAUCACCGCAGCUAUGACAUCCCCUCCUUUUGCUUUCCGGGAAGUGACGGCAACGGCUCCAAUCCAUAUGAUCAGUGCCCAAGCACAAAAGAAUUCUCUCCAACAAAAGCAAAUACUGUUUUGAUUUGAGAGAUGGUCUGCAGCAUGUAAACCUCAGAUGUUUAUUACUGAGGUGGCUCCGAUCACUAGAAUCGUAGGAGCAACCACGAAGGUAAGUAGGGACACUUCCCAACAGCAUAUAGCAGCAAUAAGGAUUCCAGAAAAGAAUGUUGCAAAGCUUGAAAGAAAAUGGCCUAGCUGGGAACCAUAAGUUAUGUUAGCAGUAUGUCAACAUUUCGGAACAUGAAAAUAAGCUAAAGCAAGGUGAAUCGAAUCGAAUGAAUAAUCUAUCUACCUUCUCCCCUAUUGCAUCUUGUAUGAUACUCAUGUGGUAACUCAUUCCACUAAUGAUUUUCCCACUCGUUA
Gossypium raimondii (Peruvian cotton) is the source of this 791-nucleotide long non-coding RNA. RefSeq lists it as uncharacterized. The record is from RefSeq and is a predicted model, not a curated record. The transcript is spliced from 4 exons. NCBI's taxonomy places the organism in Eukaryota, Viridiplantae, Streptophyta, Magnoliopsida, Malvales, Malvaceae.